CAGUGCUUGACUGGAAAGUACCUGGUGUGAUACAGCUUCUCGGUGUGGCUCACUCAUCUGGGGGGAAGAGCAGCCCUGUGUCCUGUGGUGAGGUUAACAUGAAGUAAGCUUUUAAUUAAGUGGGAGAAAAAAGGGGGCAUUUUACCUCAAUCAGAUUAAAUCAGUCCUCUCUUCGGCGUGUGACCGUGAUACCGAAGUAGCACGAGGUCAAAAUAUCUGAAAGCCGUUCCAUUUGUGGUACAGCAGCAAUAUGGUUUACAGGUUCCCAGGAGAGGAGGUGGCGUGAACCCCUGGCAAGGUGACAGCAGCAGAGGGAACCACUGGGCAAGU
RNAcentral lists this long non-coding RNA (330 nucleotides) under Calidris pugnax (ruff). RNAcentral describes it as "lncRNA (ENSCPUG00000003511.1)". The record is from RNAcentral. Lineage: Eukaryota; Metazoa; Chordata; Aves; Charadriiformes; Scolopacidae.